Small nuclear RNA from Cervus hanglu yarkandensis (Yarkand deer), 107 nucleotides. The record is from Ensembl. Lineage: Eukaryota; Metazoa; Chordata; Mammalia; Artiodactyla; Cervidae.
GUGCUCACUUUGGCAGCACAUAUACUAGAAUUGAAACCACACAGAGAAAGUUAGCCUGGCCCCUGUGCAGGGAUGAUGUACAAAUUCAUCAAGUGCUCCAUAUUUUU